CCGCGACCCCAGGUCAGGCGGGACUACCCGCUG
This 33-nucleotide ribosomal RNA is filed under the name Veronica triphyllos. Its description in RNAcentral is "partial 28S ribosomal RNA". The record is from RNAcentral. Lineage: Eukaryota; Viridiplantae; Streptophyta; Magnoliopsida; Lamiales; Plantaginaceae.